UACUCAUGUUUCUUUUCAGGUCGUAUAAAUCUUUCGCCUUUUACUAAAGAUUUCCGUGGAGAGGAACAACAUGAGAUUUAUUUAAUUUUUGAUACCCUGACUGUAACAGGGUU
Molecule: small nuclear RNA, 113 nt
Organism: Xiphophorus couchianus (Monterrey platyfish)
Lineage: Eukaryota; Metazoa; Chordata; Actinopteri; Cyprinodontiformes; Poeciliidae
Gene: U5
Rfam family: U5 spliceosomal RNA
About the family: U5 RNA is a component of both types of known spliceosome. The precise function of this molecule is unknown, though it is known that the 5' loop is required for splice site selection and p220 binding, and that both the 3' stem-loop and the Sm site are important for Sm protein binding and cap methylation.
Source: Ensembl